Molecule: ribosomal RNA, 468 nt
Filed under: uncultured bacterium
Lineage: Bacteria
Description: partial 16S ribosomal RNA
Rfam family: Bacterial small subunit ribosomal RNA
Source: RNAcentral
GACGAACGCUGGCGGCGUGCUUAACACAUGCAAGUCGAACGGAAAGGCCCUGCUCUUGUGGCGUGCUCGAGUGGCGAACGGGUGAGUAACACGCGAGUAACCCGUCCUUGACUUUGGGAUAACUUUAGGAGACUGGGGCUAAUACCGGAUAGGAGCUCCUGCUGCACGGGGGGGGUUGGAAAGUUUCGGCGGUUCGGGCUGGACUCGCGGCUUAUCAGCUUGUUGGUGGGGUAGUGGCUUACCAAGGCUUUGACGGCUAGCCGGCCUGAGAGCGUGACCGGCCACAUUGGGACUGAGAGACGGACCAGACUGCUACGGGAGGCAGCAGUGGGGAAUAUUGCACAAUGGGCGGAAGCCUGAUGCAGCGGCGCCGCGUGCGGGAUGCCGGCCUACGAGUUGUAAACCGCUUUCGCCUGUGACGAAGCGUGAGUGACGGUAAUGGGUAAAGAAGCACCGGCUAACUACGUG